CAGCUUCACUCUGGUGCUGAUUCCAGC
Molecule: non-coding RNA, 27 nt
Filed under: Homo sapiens (human)
Lineage: Eukaryota; Metazoa; Chordata; Mammalia; Primates; Hominidae
Source: RNAcentral